GAUUUGAGCCACCCGCGCCGUCUUCGGGCGCGUCCAGUACUUCGGCCAAUUCGACGCCCCGAUCCGUGUUCACGACCACACGAUCGCCACGGUGGCAAGGAAUCUGGUUGAUGGAACCAACUCGACCAACGUGUCCCAACGCUCCGUAGCGAACGAGAAAACAGUAGAUGCGCUCCACGGU
This 181-nucleotide ribosomal RNA is filed under the name uncultured eukaryote. RNAcentral describes it as "partial small subunit ribosomal RNA". The record is from RNAcentral.